UACGGAGGGUGCGAGCGUUAAUCGGAAUUACUGGGCGUAAAGCGUGCGUAGACGGUUAUCUAAGUCGGAUGUGAAAGCCCCGGGCUCAACCUGGGAAUUGCAUUCGAGACUGAAUAGCUAGGGUACGGUAGAGGGAAGUGGAAUUUCCGGUGUAGCGGUGAAAUGCGUAGAUAUCGGAAGGAACAUCAGUGGCGAAAGCGGUCUGCUGGGCCGUUGCUGACGCUGAGGCGCGACAGCGUGGGGAGCAAACAGG
This 253-nucleotide ribosomal RNA is filed under the name uncultured bacterium. RNAcentral describes it as "partial 16S ribosomal RNA". It matches the Rfam family "Bacterial small subunit ribosomal RNA", at positions 524 to 776 of the family's 1533-position model. The record is from RNAcentral.